GUGGGGAAUAUUGGACAAUGGGCGAAAGCCUGAUCCAGCCAUGCCGCGUGUGUGAAGAAGGUCUUCGGAUUGUAAAGCACUUUAAGUUGGGAGGAAGGGCAGUAAGUUAAUACCUUGCUGUUUUGACGUUACCGACAGAAUAAGCACCGGCUAACUUCGUGCCAGCAGCCGCGGUAAUACGAAGGGUGCAAGCGUUAAUCGGAAUUACUGGGCGUAAAGCGCGCGUAGGUGGUUUUGUAAGUUGGAGGUGAAAUCCCCGGGCUCAACCUGGGAACUGCCUCCAAAACUGCAUGACUAGAGUACGGUAGAGGGUAGUGGAAUUUCCUGUGUAGCGGUGAAAUGCGUAGAUAUAGGAAGGAACACCAGUGGCGAAGGCGACCACCUGGACUGAUACUGACACUGAGGUGCGAAAGCGUGGGGAGCAAACAGGAUUAGAUACCCCUGUAGUCC
RNAcentral lists this ribosomal RNA (450 nucleotides) under uncultured bacterium. Its description in RNAcentral is "partial 16S ribosomal RNA". It matches the Rfam family "Bacterial small subunit ribosomal RNA", at positions 354 to 796 of the family's 1533-position model. The record is from RNAcentral.